UGGUUGUCGUCAGCUCGUGUCGUGAGAUGUUGGUUAAGUCCGCAACGAGCGCAACCCUCGACCUUAGUUGCCAGCAUUCAGUUGGGCACUCUAAGGUGACUGCCGGCUAAAAGUCGGAGGAAGGUGGGGAUGACGUCAAAUCAUCAUGCCCCUUAUGACCUGGGCUACACACGUGCUACAAUGGGCGGUACAAAGGGUCGCGAACCCGCGAGGGGGAGCCAAUCCCAAAAAGCCGCUCUCAGUUCGGAUUGCAGGCUGCAACUCGCCUGCAUGAAGCCGGAAUCGCUAGUAAUCGCGGAUCAGCAUGCCGCGGUGAAUACGUUCCCGGGCCUU
RNAcentral lists this ribosomal RNA (333 nucleotides) under uncultured Anoxybacillus sp. RNAcentral's name for it is "bacterial SSU rRNA". It matches the Rfam family "Bacterial small subunit ribosomal RNA", at positions 1046 to 1382 of the family's 1533-position model. The record is from RNAcentral. Lineage: Bacteria; Bacillati; Bacillota; Bacilli; Caryophanales; Anoxybacillaceae.